UACGUAGGGAGCAAGCGUUGUCCGGAAUCAUUGGGCGUAAAGAGCGCGUAGGUGGCUUUAUAAGUCCGUUGUGAAAGUCAAAGGCUCAACCUUUGAAAGCCGAUGGAUACUGUGAAGCUAGAGUACGGAAGAGGCGGAUGGAAUUCCUGGUGUAGCGGUGGAAUGCGCAGAUAUCAGGAGGAACACCAAUAGCGAAGGCAGCUCGCUGGGACGUUACUGACACUGAGGCGCGAAAGCGUGGGGAGCGAACAGG
This 253-nucleotide ribosomal RNA is filed under the name uncultured bacterium. RNAcentral describes it as "partial 16S ribosomal RNA". It matches the Rfam family "Bacterial small subunit ribosomal RNA", at positions 524 to 776 of the family's 1533-position model. The record is from RNAcentral.